AUCCCCUUCGGCCAUGGACUCCCGCGCCGCCGUUCGAUCCGUUCGCCUCCGACCACCUCGUGCCACCCCGAGCUCGUCAAUGCGUUCACUGUGAGCUUGCGCACCUCCUCUCCCUCUUCAUCUGCUCACGCGCGUACUCUAGUCGCGGGUUCGUGUAGCACCACCUUCGUCACCGCCGCGGACCACUCCGACCACGCAUGUCCGCGGCCGCCUUCCCCUGACCGUUCCCCGUGCCGCCCUGUUGCUGAUGCGCCGUGCUCAAUUAACCCUGAUCAAUUAACCUAAUCAGCUAAUUAAAUUAACUAAUCUGUUAAUUAGACUAACUGACUAGGUUAACUAGCUAACAACCUAUGACAUGAGGGACCCAUGCGUCAGUUUGACCAAGUCAACUAAUUGUUGACUGCUGACAUCAACCUGAUGUCAUGCUGACGUCAUAAUGGCAUUUUCUUAUUAAAUUAAUUCUGUUAAUUCUAAAAAUAAUUAAAACUUUAGAAAAUCAUAUAAAAUAAUCCGUAACUCGGAUGAAAAAACUGUGUACAUGAAAGUUGUUCAGAACGACAAGACGAAUCCGGAUACGUAGCCCGCUCAUCCGCCACACAUCCCUAGCAUAGUGAACCUGCAACAUUUUACCUCCGGUUCAUCUGUCCGAAAACGCGAAACACCGGGAAUACUUUCCCGGAUGUUUCCCCCUUUCGCCGGUAUCACCUACUACCACGUUAGGGCACAUCUAGCACUGCGUUUGUUAUGUUAUGCUUUGUGAUGCUUUGAUUGCUCUGUUAUUUAUUGUGUUCCCCCUCCGUUACUUCUUUGCGGUAGACCCCGAGACCGCUGCCGGUACCCCUGUGAUCGACUACAUCGACGACGAACCCUUCUCUUGCCAGAUGAACCAGGCAAGCCCCCCCCCCCUUGAUCACCAGAUAUCGCCUAUUCUUCUCUAUACUGCUUGCAUUAGAGUAGUGUAGCAUGUUACUGCUUUCCGUUAAUCCUAUCCUGAUGCAUAGCCUGUCAUUGUUGCUACAGUAGUUACCCUUACCUGCUAUCCUACUGCUUAGUAUAGGAUGCUAGUGUUCCAUCAGUGGCCCUACACUCUUGUCCGUCUGCCGUGCUAUACUACUGGGCCGUGAUCACUUCGGGAGGUGAUCACGGGUAUAUACUAUAUACAUUAUAUACAUGACACAUGUGGUGACUAAAGUCGGGUCGGCUCGAGGAGUACCCGCAAGUGAUUCUGAUGAGGGGGCUGAAAGGACAUGUGGCUCCACCCCGGUAGAGGUGGGCCUGGGUUCCUGACGGCCCCCGACUGUUACUUUAUGGCGGAGCGAUAGGGCAGGUUUAGACCGCCUAGGUGAGAGGUGGGCCUGGCCCUAGUCGGCGUUCGCGGAUACUUUACACGCUUAACGAGAUCUUGGUAUUUGAUCUGAGUCUGGCCAUUUGGUUUAUACGCACUAACCAUCUACGCGGGAGUAGUUAUGGGUAUCCCGGCGUCGUGGUAUCAGCCGAAGUUCUUCUUGACGUCAGCGACGGAGCGGCGCGCGCCGGAUUGGACUGGAACGCCUGCUAGGCUAGGUCUGCUUCCAGCCGCCCUCGCAACGUGCAGGUGUGCAUAGGGCGAUGGGCCCAGACCCCUGCGCGCAUAGGGUUAGACCGGCAUGUUGACCUCUCGGUUGAGCCUAGGUGGGGCUGUGACGCGUUGAUCUUACGAGGCCGGGCAUGACCCAGAAAAGUGUGUCCGGCCAAAUGGGAUCGAGCGUGUUGGGUUAUGUGGUGCACCCCUGCAGGGAAGUUUAUCUAUUCGAAUAGCCGUGUCCCUCGGUAAAAGGACGACCCGGAGUUGUACCUUGACCUUAUGACAACUAGAACUGGAUACUAAAUAAAAGACACCCUUCCAAGUGCCAGAUACAACCCGGUGAUCGCUCUCUAACAGGGCGACAAGGAGGGGAUCGCCGGGUAGGAUUAUGCUAUGCGAUGCUACUUGGAGGACUUCAAUCUACUCUCUUCUACAUGCUGCAAGAUGGAGAUGGCCAGAAGCGUAGUCUUCGACUGGAAUAGCUAUCCCCCUCUUAUUCUGGCAUUCUGCAGUUCAGUCCACUGAUUUGGCCCUUUACACAUAUACCCAUUGCAUAUGUAGUGUAGCUCCUUGCUUGCGAGUACUUUGGAUGAGUACUCACGGUUGCUUUUCUCCCUCUUUUCCCCCUUGUAUACCUGAUUGUCGCAACCAGAUGCUGGAGUCCAGGAGCCAAAGAUCCCGAGGAUGUUUCUACAUGGAGUUCGGCUUCGAGGAGUAGUUAGGAGGUCGCAGGCAGGAGGCCUUGCCUUUUCGAUCGUUGCUACUUUUGUGCUAGCCUUCUUAAGGCAAACUUGUUUAACUUAUGUCUGUACUCAGAUAUUGUUGCUUCCGCUGACUCGUCUAUGAUCGAGCACUUGUAUUCGAGCCCUCGAGGCCCCUGGCUUGUAUUAUGAUGCUUGUAUGAC
RNAcentral lists this long non-coding RNA (2469 nucleotides) under Triticum aestivum (bread wheat). RNAcentral's name for it is "long non-coding RNA (TAES_LNC013869)". The record is from RNAcentral. Lineage: Eukaryota; Viridiplantae; Streptophyta; Magnoliopsida; Poales; Poaceae.